Ricinus communis (castor bean) is the source of this 870-nucleotide long non-coding RNA. RefSeq lists it as uncharacterized. The record is from RefSeq and is a predicted model, not a curated record. The transcript has 2 exons. Lineage: Eukaryota; Viridiplantae; Streptophyta; Magnoliopsida; Malpighiales; Euphorbiaceae.
UAUAACUGAGAUUCUAUUGUAAAGAGAAAUUCUUGCCUAAUGUUUAGAAUUUUUUGCUAUAAUUCAUGGUGGAAUGAUGGUAAGGAUACACUGAAGCAGUAGAAGAAAGGUUGUGAGUAUUUUGAACGGCAACGAAUAGUGGUUCCCUAACCUGGUCUGGAGAAGCGGUCUGACGAGGGCGAGAAGUGGACGCCGGGGCAAAGAUAAGAUGCCUGGACAAGGAGCGGCUCCCGGCAGGCUUUUAGGAUGGCAGACUCUAAGUUACGGAGGUACAUGAAUGAAUCGAAUUAUACAUCGAAAUGGGGUGGGAAUGGCUUAUAACAUAUAUGUAAAGAGUUGAAACUCAUCACAUGAGGUGUUUUUUGGUUGUUUGGUCGUGGAGUUAUAGGAACUUCAAAGUUAAAUGUGCUUGGUUCAGAAAAAUUUCAGGAUGGGAGACCUUCUGAGAAGUUCUCGAACCUGCCACAGGAACAAAACCGUGAGGCUAGUAGGGACCAAAGCAGAUAAUCUCUCAUGUGAUCUGGUUUCAGACUGUUACAAAUGAUAUCAAAGCAGGACCCCUCUAAUAGAUGUGUGGUUCUAGGACGAACUAGGCGGAAGCUGGUAGCCAUGUGACAGCCUAGCCUGGAGAAGCAAUCCGACAAGGGCGGAAAGUGGAUACCGGGGCAAAGAUAAGAUGCCUCGACAAGGAGCGGCUCCUGGCAGACUUCUAGGAUGGCAGCACUAUAAGGUAUGAGAGUACAUGAAUGAAUCGAAUUACACAUCAAAAUGGGGCAGGAAUAAUUGAUAACAUAUAUGUAAAGAGUUGAAACUAAUCACAUAAGGCACUUUCCGUUGUACUACUACAAUAACAUCAUUUUACUCUUUUUU